This is a long non-coding RNA of Pogoniulus pusillus (Red-fronted tinkerbird), 302 nucleotides long. RefSeq lists it as uncharacterized. Lineage: Eukaryota; Metazoa; Chordata; Aves; Piciformes; Lybiidae. The transcript is spliced from 4 exons. The record is from RefSeq and is a predicted model, not a curated record.
CUAAGAGCCUAAAACUCAGAAAUUCAGUGAGAGUCAUCUCCUGCACAGCACGUUGGAAGAUUAUCCACAGAAGAACACCCCCGUAAAGCAGAAGUACAGGAGAGAAGAGGCCUGUGUUUUUCCUCUUGAUUUUAUGGAUGGGAUUGGAAACCCAGCAUGCAAGAGACUCUAGAAUUAAAGGACAAAGUGUCAGCUUAAUUUUAAACUUCCUGGCUUUGAUCCAUUUGCGUUGCAGCGUUAAUCAGGGAGAAAGAAAGGGUCAUAUUAUUUUUGGCCCAUGGGAGGUACGUUCAAGGUGAACA